RNAcentral lists this ribosomal RNA (437 nucleotides) under Chalinula zeae. Its description in RNAcentral is "SSU rRNA". It matches the Rfam family "Eukaryotic small subunit ribosomal RNA", at positions 28 to 457 of the family's 1831-position model. The record is from RNAcentral. Lineage: Eukaryota; Metazoa; Porifera; Demospongiae; Haplosclerida; Chalinidae.
CAUGCUUUGUCUCAAGACUAAGCCAUGCAUGUGCAAGUAUGAACGCAUCUGCACCGUGAAACUGCGAAUGGCUCAUUAAAUCAGUUAUAGUUUAUUUGAUGGUGCCCCACUACAUGGAUAACCGUGGUAAUUCUAGAGCUAAUACAUGCAGAAGGUCCCGACUGCUUGGAAGGGAUGUAUUUAUUAGAUCCAAAACCAAUGCCGGGGUUCGCCCCGGGAAGCUGGUGAUUCAUGGUAACUGCUCGAAUCGCAUGGCCUUCGCGCCGGCGAUGAUUCAUUCAAGUUUCUGCCCUAUCAACUUUCGAUGGUAGGGUAUUGGCCUACCAUGGUCGCAACGGGUGACGGAGAAUUAGGGUUCGAUUCCGGAGAGGGAGCCUGAGAAACGGCUACCACAUCCAAGGAAGGCAGCAGGCGCGCAAAUUACCCAAUCCCGACUC